This 510-nucleotide ribosomal RNA is filed under the name uncultured bacterium. Its description in RNAcentral is "partial 16S ribosomal RNA". It matches the Rfam family "Bacterial small subunit ribosomal RNA", at positions 28 to 507 of the family's 1533-position model. The record is from RNAcentral.
GACGAACGCUGGCGGCGUGCUUAACACAUGCAAGUCGAACGAAGAGCGAUGGAAGCUUGCUUCUAUCAAUCUUAGUGGCGAACGGGUGAGUAACGCGUAAUCAACCUGCCCUUCAGAGGGGGACAACAGUUGGAAACGACUGCUAAUACCGCAUACGAUCUAAUCUCGGCAUCGAGGAUAGAUGAAAGGUGGCCUCUACAUGUAAGCUAUCACUGAAGGAGGGGAUUGCGUCUGAUUAGCUAGUUGGAGGGGUAACGGCCCACCAAGGCGAUGAUCAGUAGCCGGUCUGGGAGGAUGAACGGCCACAUUGGGACUGAGACACGGCCCAGACUCCUACGGGAGGCAGCAGUGGGGAAUCUUCCGCAAUGGACGAAAGUCUGACGGAGCAACGCCGCGUGAGCGAUGACGGCCUUCGGGUUGUAAAGCUCUGUUAAUCGGGACGAAAGGCCUUCUUGCGAAUAGUGAGAAGGAUUGACGGUACCGGAAUAGAAAGCCACGGCUAACUACGUG